RNAcentral lists this long non-coding RNA (1669 nucleotides) under Mus musculus (house mouse). Its description in RNAcentral is "long non-coding RNA chr12:55155360-55157029". The record is from RNAcentral. Lineage: Eukaryota; Metazoa; Chordata; Mammalia; Rodentia; Muridae.
GGGCGGAAGGUUCGGUGGCAGUCGUCGGUGUUCCAGCUGGUGGUAGUUGGCUUCACUGUGUUGGGCGCUGGGCCCCUAGUUUCUGGAGCUGGGAAGUUGGGCGGCGGGCUCCGUCCCUGUCCUUCAGCUUCCAGCGUUCCUGGGUUUCCUUCGGCGGCGUGGGGCCUCGCCAAGGACUCGCCGGCCCUGUGGGGCCACGGCUUUAGUGGCGCCUUUUGCGGUGAGUGUGGGGGUUUUUCCUCGCUCCGCCCUGGGAACCCCUAGUUAGAGCGCCGCUUCUGCGGAAGUCUUCCCGGGUGGCCACGGGCAGUGAUCUCCGAGGCUGAGGUGCACUGACACUUUUAUUUUACUCUUGCCCUCCACUGCAAGCUUUACCAGACGCUGCGCUGUUACCCUUUUAAUUUGUCUUCAGACUUACCCGAGCCAAAUAAGUAAGCAUUGGUAGGCUUGGCUCAUGGAAGGCAUUCCCGAACAAGAAUUUAGAUAAAGCUAUUUCCCCAAAGCCUUUUGACAUAUACUAGGGUUUAUUUUCCUAUCUUUUAGUGUUUACUAACAUGUUGGUUAGCAUAUUGUUCAGAACUUUUAGUUCAGCGACAGUGAUAAGAUGUGCUAAGGACUUUAAUAAGUCGAAGCUAGUGACAAUGUAUUUUUUGUUGUUGAAACUUUCUUAAUCAGCUUUUCGGUUACCAGUCUUCACUUAGUUGUUAGAUAUGCAUUUGAACAAUUUUUUUUGAGGCUUUCUUUUCUUGUUUUCUCUUUUUAAGCUGAAGAGAUAAAGUAAUGAAGGACAGUGCUCCUAACAUGAAGAUUCUAGCAGUACAGAGGAUGAAAAAGGCUAUAAAUAUAUAAUAUAGCCCGACUCUAGUUAGGCCAAAAGAGACACGGGACAGUGAUGACAGUUAAUGUGCCCCUUAAGAGAUUUGUCUGAGUCAUUUGCUUUUGAAGGCUACCCUUAAUUUCCUAAUAGGCUUACAAGGAUAGAAGAGGGUUAAGUAAUAUAGUUCCAAUGACAUAGCUGCAUCAGUGCAGAAGAGGAGGGAGACAUUUCCCUCAGACCUCUUUACCUCAACUUUUUGAUAUGACAGAUUUAGUAUUUUGGGAUUUAAUAAAGACUGUUAUACAAGGAGUACUCCUGUAACUCUCUGUGCCUGCUACUGGAAUAGUAGCUUUCUUCCUUUUAAUUAGCCAUUUUUAAAUUUUUUAAAAUUUAUUUUAUUUUAUUUAUUUUUUUAAUGCGCUGGUGUGAGGGAAUCAGGUCCCCUGGAACUGGAUUUCCUGGAUUUAGUUGUGAACUGCCAUGUGGGUACUGGGAAUUCACCCUGGGUUCUCUAGAAGAACAGCCAAUGCUCUUAACCAAUGAGCUGUCUCUCCAGCCCACUUUUCCUUUUAAAGAUUGGAUUUUUUCCAUGUGCUUUGGGAGGCAAAGAUGACCAGUAAAACUUAAAGUCUCUUGGGAUCCUCUUAGUCUUGGUUGAUUUGCUCUUUCCUGUGCUCCAUGUUGGCAGAAUACAGGAUCUCCCAUAGACCCACCUUGAGAGUUCUCAUCCACGUGUUGCUUCCAUACAUCACUCCCAUAUGCCAACCAUUUCCAUGCCCUUUUCUCUGGCCUUCAUUUUGAGAGUUCUGCACUUUCUGCAUGAUCAGUCUCCAGCUGAUUUGCCUUACUUCG